AGAGUUUGAUCAUGGCUCAGGAUGAACGCUGGCGGCGUGCCUAAUACAUGCAAGUCGAGCGAACUUCGGGGUUAGCGGCGGACGGGUGAGUAACACGUGGGUAACCUGCCUGUAAGACUGGGAUAACUUCGGGAAACCGUAGCUAAUACCGGAUAAUUUUCCAGUUCACAUGAACUGGAAUGGAAAGAUGGCUUUUGCUA
This 200-nucleotide ribosomal RNA is filed under the name uncultured bacterium. RNAcentral's name for it is "partial 16S ribosomal RNA". It matches the Rfam family "Bacterial small subunit ribosomal RNA", at positions 8 to 220 of the family's 1533-position model. The record is from RNAcentral.